GCACAGGGCUGGGAGGCACCCAGUCUCUCCUCCUUCGUUCCCCUGGGCUCCGUGUCUUCGAGGAAGCAACACCAGUAGCUCGGACCUGGGCGGACUUUCAGGGAACAUGCAGCCAGUCCUGCUCUCAUUGGCCUUUCUUCUGUCCCCUAGGCUGGGAUGGGUAAGUGACAAUCCCCAUUCCUGAGGCCUGAGCCCCUCUCACCAACCCCCCUGUACUCCUGACCCCUCUGCUCCACUCCGAUUUCUGCCCCCAGCUCCCAUCCCAAACCCCAAGUUCCAAGCUGCAGAGACACUCAGCGGGGAGGGAUGGCAGGAAGGACAGGGCUUCACCAGCGCUUUGGUGGCUCUUAGCCUGGGACCUCUGGGAAGGUGGGCUGUGUGCUUGGCAGAGGAUGGGAAGCUACCGAAACAAGCUACUAAAACCCCUCCUUCCAACCCAGGAAAGGGCAGCUCAGGUGGACCCACUUCAGUGUGGGGGUUGUCAGUGGACCGAGCUCAAGCACCGGUGGCAUUUCUCCAUGUCCUCUACUCCUCAGUGCUGCCCAGGAGAGGAGCCCAGGGCCUGGGGUGCUGCUCAGAAGAGGCUAGAUGACAGCACCCAAAGCUCUCCGGGUGCCUUGGCUCUGCCCCCAGGCCCCAAGUAGCCCACUUUCAGCGCCACUGGCCCUGCCUCCCAGGCCCUCAGCUGCCCCACUGUCUCUGGCAGUGCCCUUCCCCAUGCCCGUGGUCUUGAAUCCCACCAGUGCCAUCCUCACCAAACCUCAGCGCAAAGCGAAUCAGAGGCCAUUCACUCAUGCACCAAAAGAUGUUACCUGAAAUCCUAGGAUGUGUUAGGCCCUGGGAGGGGAGGAUUUUAGAAAACCCAACUCCAUAAGCUCACAAUGCAAACUCAGUUAAUUUCACGUAUUGCCUGAGAAAGCUCCCAGAAGCCCUUCCCUCAGUCAUUGAGAAGUACAGGCCACAGAGUCACUCAGCCCCAGGACCAUCUGUCACCUCAAUUUCCCCUCAGCUGCAGCCCUGCCCUGUGUCACCUGCCCUUCACAGCUCCUGGGCUGUAUCUCCUGCGACUCCAUGCUCCCCACACCCGCCUCUGCUCUCUGCAGCUCAAUCAACUUCACCCUGGGGGCCCACAACAUCAAGAAGCUGGAGAGAACACAGCAGGGUCAAGAUUAUUUUCCACGUAGGAGGUCUGUGUCAUUAUAGGACAUCGUAGACACAUUAUUCUAGCACCACUUAUUGAGAAAAAAAGAGAAUCAUUUUUUCCCCCACUCUCUGCCAUGAAACCUCCAUCAUAAAUCAAGUGAUCACUAUGUGCCUAUCAGUGUCCAAAUGUGUGUGGGAUCUUCUGUGUCUGGUCCACUAGUGUGUGUCUCUAUGCCCCCAUCAGCACCACACUAUCUUCAUUAUAAUUACUAACUUCAUUUGCUAAAGCAAGACCUCCCACUUUAUUCCUGUUCUUCAAGACUGUCUUGGCUAUGGUUCGCCACUGGUUUUUCCAUGUCUAUUUAGAAUCUCAAGUUCUAUGAAACACCUCUUGGGUGCAAUGAAUCUAUAGAUCAUUUUUUGGAGAAUUGACAUUUACAAAUUUUUUUCUCUUCCAAACACCAGCAUGAAAUAUCUAUUUAUGUUUAGGUCUUAAAUGUUUCUUAAUACCAUGUUGUAACUUUUGUUAUUAAAAAAAAAAAGAUGUGCAAAAAGAUGUCUUGCACAUCUUUUUUUAAGACUUUUAUUUAGUUAUUUGGUUAAUACGACUAAUGUUUAUUUUUUUAUUUUUUGUCUUUUUGCCUUUUCUAGGGCCACUCCUGCAGCAUAUGGAGGUUCCCAGGCUAGGGGUCUAAUUGGAACUGUUGUUGCUGGCCUGCACCACAGCUCACAGCAACGCCAGAUCCUUAACACACUGAGCAAGGCCAGGGAUUGAACAUGCAACCUCAUGGUUCCUGUUAACCACUGAGCCACUAAGGGAACCCCAUCCUAACAUGACUAAUGUUUAAAUUGAUGUUAUGCCCAGCAAAUUGUCAAACUGUCUUGUUGGUUGUAGAAAUUUAUCUGCAGGUUUUAGGCAUUCUCUAUGGACACUAUGGUAUCUCAAAUAUUCACAGUUUUAUUUCCACUUUCUCUGUCCUUAUACCUCUUUCUUCUAUUUCCUUCUUAACUGUACUGGUGAAAAUCUUCAGUAUAAUGUUAAAGAGAAAUGAUGAUUUUGUUUAUCCAUAUGGCCUUGUGUUCUUUUACUCUCAAACAAAAAAACAUUCUACAUUUCAUCAUUAAGUAUGAUGAUUGCUGUGGGAUAUUUGCAGAGACCUUUUAUCAGAACAAAGGCACUCUUUUCUACUCCUUGUUUGCUAAUAAUUUUUUUGAAAUGAAUGAGGGUAAAUUUUGACAUAUGCUUUUUUUUUGCUUUAAUUGAAUUAUCAUACAGAGUUUCUUCUUUCAUCGGUAUGUUGUAUUAUAACAAUUGAGUUUUGAAUGAAAAACCAUCCAUCCUAGGAUAAACACAAAUUAGAAAUAAUGUAAUAUUUUUGUUUAUUGACUGAUUUGGCUUACAUCAAUAUUCAAAUAAUAUUAGCCUGCAAUGUUCUUUUCCCAUAUUGUCUUCAUUGGGUUUAGCAUCAAAUUUCUCUAGUCUCAUAAAGGAGUUGGGUAGCAUCUGUUCUCCAGGAGAAAUCAUAUAGUGUUCGUUUUUUUUUUUUCUUUUUAGGGCCACACCUACAGCAUAUGGAAGUUCCCAGGCUAGGAGUUGAAUCCUAGCUGUAGCUGCAGGCCUACACUACAGCCACAGCAGUGCCAGAUCCAAGCUGUGUCUGCAAUCUACAAUGUAGCUGUGGCAAUGCUGGAUCCUUUACCCACUGAGCAAGGCCAGGUAUUGAACCCGCAUCCUCACAGACUCUAUGUCAGAUUCUUAAUCCACUGAUCCACAACAGGAACUCCCAUAUGUUCUUUGAAUAUUUUUACAGAUUUCCAGUGAAGCCAUAUAAGCUUAUACCUAUCCUUGAUGGAAUAUUUUUGAAAACUGAAUCAAUUUAAUGUUUAUAGGAAAAUUCAAACUAUGUUUCAUUGUUAUAUUUUCUAGGGAUUUGUCAUAUCCAUGUAGAUUUUCAAAAUAUUGUCUUCCUGGUGACCUAUAAUAUAGAUAUUCCAGAUAUAAACAUAUAUUCUCCAGAUAUAAACCCUUUCCUAGUUAUUGUAAAUGUCUCCAACCCUGUGGUUUUACAUUUAACUAUCUCAGUAGUGCCUUUGGUAAUUAGAAUUUUUAUCUUUAUAUAUACCCAACAAAUUUUUACUGUAGAUAAAUUUAUCCAUUAUUAUUGAUGGUCAGUGUUUUUAUUUUUUCAUAUUUUUUCCCAUUAUGGUCUAUUGUAGGAUAUUGAAGAUAGUUUCCUGUGGUUAGUGCUUUUUAUAUCUUGUAUAAAAUUGUUUUCCCAAAGUUAAGUGUAUAAAGAAAUUGUGUCUUCAAAAUUUUGGAUUUUUACCUUUAUAUUAAUUUGGGGUCUAGUAUUAAAUGGUUGUUUCAUCUUUAUUCGUAUAUACACAAAAAUUAUUUUUUUGGCUGUGCCAACAGCAUGCAGAAUUCCUGGGCCAGGGAUGAAACCCAAGCCACACUAGUGACAAUGCUGGCUCCUUAACUGCUAGGUCACCAGGGAGCUCCUACACAACAAAUUUUACUAUAAAUUAUUUUCCAUCAUUAUUAAACAUUUUGAAUUCAUUUUUUAUUUCCAUUAUGAUCUUACUCAUGAUUUACAGUUGACCCUUGAAUAGCAUGGGGCUAGGGGCAUUGACUAUCCACCUAGUGGAAAGUCCAUGUAUAGCUUAGAGUCAGCCCUUUCGUUCUGCAACCAGCCAUGGAUAGUGUAGUAUUGUAGUGCUUACUACUGAAAAAAAAAAAAAAUCUGUGUGUAAGUGGAUUGUCCACUUCAAAAUGCGGUUGCCUGUCUCUCUUUCUUUCUCUCUUUAUCUCUUUCUUUCUCUUCCUCUUUUGCAACACCCACAGCAUACAGAAGUUCCCAGGCCAGGGAUUGAAUUUGUGCCACAGCAGCCAUCCAAGCUGCUGCAGUGACAGCACAGGAUCCUUAACCUGAUGAGUCACCAGGGAACUCCUAUUUCUUUAAUUUUAAAAAUAUAAGGAUAGGAGUUCCUGUUGUGGCUCAGUGAAAACAAAUCUGACUGGUAUACAUGAGGAUGCAGGUUCAGUCCCUUGCCUCACUCAGUGGGUUAAGGAUCCUGCAUUGCCGUGAGCUGUGGUAUAGGUUGCAGAUCCAGCUCUGCAGCUCGGAUCUGGCGUUGCUGUGGUGUAGGCCAGUGGCUACAGCUCCGAUUCGACCCCUAGCCUGGGAACCUCCAUAUGCUGCAGGUGU
This 4352-nucleotide long non-coding RNA is filed under the name Sus scrofa (pig). RNAcentral describes it as "lncRNA (ENSSSCG00000063410.1)". Lineage: Eukaryota; Metazoa; Chordata; Mammalia; Artiodactyla; Suidae. The record is from RNAcentral.